CUCCCCUGCAUGGCUGCGGGAGCACCUCCUCAGGCGCCACCCGGCUCUCAGAGAGACCGAGACACGGGCGCUGCCAUGGAGAGGCCCCUCUGCUUCCUCAGAGACUCGGAAGACAGCAGCGGGGAGGAAUGUGCAAGGGGCGUGGCACAAGCAGAGCAGGGCGGGCACAGGUCUCCCAGGGGGCCAGCGCCGGCGGGAGGGGCACAGGUCUCCCAGGGGGCCAGCGCCGGCGGGAGGGGCACAGGUCUCCCAGGGGGCCAGUGCCGGCGGGAGGGGCACAGGUCUCCCAGGGGGCCAGUGCUGGAGGAAGGGGCACAGGUCUCCCA
Non-coding RNA from Oryctolagus cuniculus (rabbit), 326 nucleotides. NCBI's taxonomy places the organism in Eukaryota, Metazoa, Chordata, Mammalia, Lagomorpha, Leporidae. The record is from RefSeq and is a predicted model, not a curated record.